AGUGAACGCUGGCGGUAGGCCUAACACAUGCAAGUCGAACGGCAGCACAGUAAGAGCUUGCUCUUACGGGUGGCGAGUGGCGGACGAGUGAGGAAUACAUCGGAAUCUACUUUUUCGUGGGGGAUAACGUAGGGAAACUUACGCUAAUACCGCAUACGACCUACGGGUGAAAGCAGGGGAUCUUCGGACCUUGCGCGAUUGAAUGAGCCGAUGUCGGAUUAGCUAGUUGGCGGGGUAAAGGCCCACCAAGGCGACGAUCCGUAGCUGGUCUGAGAGGAUGAUCAGCCACACUGGAACUGAGACACGGUCCAGACUCCUACGGGAGGCAGCAGUGGGGAAUAUUGGACAAUGGGCGCAAGCCUGAUCCAGCCAUACCGCGUGGGUGAAGAAGGCCUUCGGGUUGUAAAGCCCUUUUGUUGGAAGAGAAAAGCAGCAGGUUAAUACCCCGCUGUUCUGACGGUACCCAAAGAAUAAGCACCGGCUAACUUCGUG
RNAcentral lists this ribosomal RNA (492 nucleotides) under uncultured bacterium. Its description in RNAcentral is "partial 16S ribosomal RNA". It matches the Rfam family "Bacterial small subunit ribosomal RNA", at positions 29 to 507 of the family's 1533-position model. The record is from RNAcentral.